UACCAGCACCCCGAGUGGUCGGGACGAUUAUUGGGCCUAAAGCAUCCGUAGCCGGUUUUACAAGUCCCCCGUUAAAUCCAGCUGCUCAACAGAUGGGCCGCGGAGGAUACUCCAGAGCUAGGAGGCAGGAGAGGCAAGCGGUACUCAGUGGGUAGGGGUAAAAUCCGUUGAUCCAUUGAAGACCACCAGUGGCGAAGGCGGCUUGCCAGAAUGCGCUCGACGGUGAGGGAUGAAAGCUGGGGGAGCAAACCGG
RNAcentral lists this ribosomal RNA (253 nucleotides) under uncultured bacterium. RNAcentral's name for it is "partial 16S ribosomal RNA". It matches the Rfam family "Archaeal small subunit ribosomal RNA", at positions 474 to 727 of the family's 1478-position model. The record is from RNAcentral.